RNAcentral lists this ribosomal RNA (505 nucleotides) under uncultured bacterium. RNAcentral's name for it is "partial 16S ribosomal RNA". It matches the Rfam family "Bacterial small subunit ribosomal RNA", at positions 28 to 507 of the family's 1533-position model. The record is from RNAcentral.
GACGAACGCUGGCGGCGUGCCUAAUACAUGCAAGUAGAACGCACAGUUUAUACCGUAGCUUGCUACACCAUAGACUGUGAGUUGCGAACGGGUGAGUAACGCGUAGGUAACCUGCCUGGUAGCGGGGGAUAACUAUUGGAAACGAUAGCUAAUACCGCAUCAUAUUGAUUAUUGCAUGAUAAUUAAUUGAAAGGUGCAAUUGCACCACUACUAGAUGGACCUGCGUUGUAUUAGCUAGUAGGUGAGGUAACGGCUCACCUAGGCGACGAUACAUAGCCGACCUGAGGGGAUGAUCGGCCGCACGUGGGAGGGGACACGGACCAGACCUGUGAGGGAGGCACCAGUAGGGAAUCUUCGGCAGUGGACGGAAGUCUGACCGAGGAACGCCGCGUGAGUGAAGAAGGUCUUUGGAGCGUAAAGCUCGGUUGUAAGAGAAGAGCGGGCGUGAGAGUGGAAAGAUCACGCUGUGACGGUAUCUUACCAGAAAGGGACGGCUAACUACGUG